Molecule: ribosomal RNA, 1550 nt
Filed under: Enterobacter kobei
Lineage: Bacteria; Pseudomonadati; Pseudomonadota; Gammaproteobacteria; Enterobacterales; Enterobacteriaceae
Also listed under: 2 other names
Description: bacterial SSU rRNA
Rfam family: Bacterial small subunit ribosomal RNA
Source: RNAcentral
AAAUUGAAGAGUUUGAUCAUGGCUCAGAUUGAACGCUGGCGGCAGGCCUAACACAUGCAAGUCGAACGGUAGCACAGAGAGCUUGCUCUCGGGUGACGAGUGGCGGACGGGUGAGUAAUGUCUGGGAAACUGCCUGAUGGAGGGGGAUAACUACUGGAAACGGUAGCUAAUACCGCAUAACGUCGCAAGACCAAAGAGGGGGACCUUCGGGCCUCUUGCCAUCAGAUGUGCCCAGAUGGGAUUAGCUAGUAGGUGGGGUAACGGCUCACCUAGGCGACGAUCCCUAGCUGGUCUGAGAGGAUGACCAGCCACACUGGAACUGAGACACGGUCCAGACUCCUACGGGAGGCAGCAGUGGGGAAUAUUGCACAAUGGGCGCAAGCCUGAUGCAGCCAUGCCGCGUGUAUGAAGAAGGCCUUCGGGUUGUAAAGUACUUUCAGCGGGGAGGAAGGUGUUGUGGUUAAUAACCACAGCAAUUGACGUUACCCGCAGAAGAAGCACCGGCUAACUCCGUGCCAGCAGCCGCGGUAAUACGGAGGGUGCAAGCGUUAAUCGGAAUUACUGGGCGUAAAGCGCACGCAGGCGGUCUGUCAAGUCGGAUGUGAAAUCCCCGGGCUCAACCUGGGAACUGCAUUCGAAACUGGCAGGCUAGAGUCUUGUAGAGGGGGGUAGAAUUCCAGGUGUAGCGGUGAAAUGCGUAGAGAUCUGGAGGAAUACCGGUGGCGAAGGCGGCCCCCUGGACAAAGACUGACGCUCAGGUGCGAAAGCGUGGGGAGCAAACAGGAUUAGAUACCCUGGUAGUCCACGCCGUAAACGAUGUCGACUUGGAGGUUGUGCCCUUGAGGCGUGGCUUCCGGAGCUAACGCGUUAAGUCGACCGCCUGGGGAGUACGGCCGCAAGGUUAAAACUCAAAUGAAUUGACGGGGGCCCGCACAAGCGGUGGAGCAUGUGGUUUAAUUCGAUGCAACGCGAAGAACCUUACCUACUCUUGACAUCCAGAGAACUUUCCAGAGAUGGAUUGGUGCCUUCGGGAACUCUGAGACAGGUGCUGCAUGGCUGUCGUCAGCUCGUGUUGUGAAAUGUUGGGUUAAGUCCCGCAACGAGCGCAACCCUUAUCCUUUGUUGCCAGCGGUCCGGCCGGGAACUCAAAGGAGACUGCCAGUGAUAAACUGGAGGAAGGUGGGGAUGACGUCAAGUCAUCAUGGCCCUUACGAGUAGGGCUACACACGUGCUACAAUGGCGCAUACAAAGAGAAGCGACCUCGCGAGAGCAAGCGGACCUCAUAAAGUGCGUCGUAGUCCGGAUUGGAGUCUGCAACUCGACUCCAUGAAGUCGGAAUCGCUAGUAAUCGUAGAUCAGAAUGCUACGGUGAAUACGUUCCCGGGCCUUGUACACACCGCCCGUCACACCAUGGGAGUGGGUUGCAAAAGAAGUAGGUAGCUUAACCUUCGGGAGGGCGCUUACCACUUUGUGAUUCAUGACUGGGGUGAAGUCGUAACAAGGUAACCGUAGGGGAACCUGCGGUUGGAUCACCUCCUUACCUUAAAGAA